Molecule: ribosomal RNA, 925 nt
Filed under: Agaricus bisporus (cultivated mushroom)
Lineage: Eukaryota; Fungi; Basidiomycota; Agaricomycetes; Agaricales; Agaricaceae
Description: LSU rRNA
Rfam family: Eukaryotic large subunit ribosomal RNA
Source: RNAcentral
GCAAUAAGCGGAGGAAAAGAAACUAACAAGGAUUCCCCUAGUAACUGCGAGUGAAGCGGGAAAAGCUCAAAUUUAAAAUCUGGCGGUCUUUGGCCGUCCGAGUUGUAAUCUAGAGAAGUAAUGCCCGUGCUGGACCGUGUAUAAGUCUCCUGGGAUGGGGCGUCAUAGAGGGUGAGAAUCCCGUCUUUGACACGGACUACCAGUGCAUUGUGGUAUGCUCUCAAAGAGUCGAGUUGUUUGGGAAUGCAGCUCAAAAUGGGUGGUAAAUUCCAUCUAAAGCUAAAUAUUGGCGAGAGACCGAUAGCGAACAAGUACCGUGAGGGAAAGAUGAAAAGAACUUUGGAAAGAGAGUUAAACAGUACGUGAAAUUGCUGAAAGGGAAACGCUUGAAGUCAGUCGCGUUGGCCAGGGAUCAGCCUUGCUUUUGCAUGGUGUACUUUCUGGUUGACGGGUCAGCAUCAAUUUUGACCGCUGGAAAAGGGCCUGGGGAAUGUGGCAGCUUCGGCUGUGUUAUAGCCCCUGGUCGCAUACAGUGGUUGGGAUUGAGGAACUCAGCACGCCGCAAGGCCGGGUUUCGACCACGUUCGUGCUUAGGAUGCUGGCAUAAUGGCUUUAAGCGACCCGUCUUGAAACACGGACCAAGGAGUCUAACAUGCCUGCGAGUAUUUGGGUGGAAAACCCGACUGCGCAAUGAAAGUGAAAGUUGAGAUCCCUGUCGUGGGGAGCAUCGACGCCCGGACCAGAACUUUUGGGACGGAUCCGCGGUGGAGCAUGUAUGUUGGGACCCGAAAGAUGGUGAACUAUGCCUGAAUAGGGUGAAGCCAGAGGAAACUCUGGUGGAGGCUCGUAGCGAUUCUGACGUGCAAAUCGAUCGUCAAAUUUGGGUAUAGGGGCGAAAGACUAAUCGAACCAUCUAGUAGCUGGU